GCCUGGAUGGUGAAACUGGUAGACACGCAGGACUUAAAAUCCGGUGAAACUGGUAGACACGCAGGACUUAAAAUCCGGUGAAACUGGUAGACACGCAGGACUUAAAAUCCUGUAGCUCUUAAAAAGCUGUGCGGGUUCAAUUCCCGCUCUAGGUA
RNAcentral lists this transfer RNA (155 nucleotides) under Candidatus Karelsulcia muelleri. Its description in RNAcentral is "tRNA-Leu". It matches the Rfam family "tRNA". From Rfam's summary of the family: Transfer RNA (tRNA) molecules are approximately 80 nucleotides in length. Their secondary structure includes four short double-helical elements and three loops (D, anti-codon, and T loops). The record is from RNAcentral. Lineage: Bacteria; Pseudomonadati; Bacteroidota; Flavobacteriia; Flavobacteriales.